AGGAAAAUGGGAACUGAAAAACGUAGUGAAAUAGAUUAGUUAAGGAGCAGCAGUAAACAGAGGCAGGACAGAAUCGUGGAAGAAACUUGACUGGAACCAGUGCGUGUCUGGUGUGUCAGCAUCCUGGGCGCAUCCCCUCCCAGGGGUUUGGCUGCCCAGGUUAGGGCCCCCUUAGCAAUAGUGUUGCUGGUAACCUUGAAAGAGCAAGCCAGGAGAAACCCCAGUGAGGGCCUGCUGCUCCAGGAGCUGUUUUUAAGUGGAGGCUGCAGCCUUUGUUCCCAGCAGGAACACCAGAACAAGGAACAUUGCCUGGCCCUGCUGCUCUGGAGCCUGGUUGGUGACGCAUUUGACCUCAGUCCUCAUCCCAUGGGCUUGUGUGGACCUUUUCUUGUGGCUUCACAUCCCAGCAGCACAAACUUACAGGGUUGCUCCCUCAGCUUGGAAAGGCAUUUAACAGCAGCUUGAUUUAAGGAGUUUGAACUUCUUUCCUUGGGGAACCACAGGCUCAAAAAAUUGAAUUGUUAGCUGGUAUGCAAAGAAGUUGACAGAUAACAGCCAGAGAUAAAAAUCAUGGAGUGAAAAGAGACAAAGAUGUUCUCCUUGUCCAAAGCUGAGCUAGGAAGCAGAGGAUCAGCUUGCUGCGGGAACAGGAAGAUCUUGGGACUUUUUCCAGCAGAUCCUGGAGUAUAAAUAACAAAGGCACGGCCGAGUCUCCAAAUAAAGCGAACAAAUCAGUUAGCCACAGAAUAGUGAAGGAGGCAAAGGUUCUCUGUGCAAUCAGGGAGGAAACACUGCUGAUGAAAAGGAGGGCAGGGAAAUUGGAGCGUCAAAAAUCUGACAAUCACUGAAGGACCGAGUAGCGUGCGUUGAUGAAAAUGCUGAAGAGAAGACUCCACGCCAGAGCCAGGUGGAAAUGGGGAAAGAAGGGACACAGGGCUGGAAGUCAGCAGCUGGAAGGCUGGGUGAUGAACUGUGAACAUGUUAAAAAAUGUCCAACAGUCUGGUAUUUUCUCUCUCAGAGACAGAGCAGUGGCACCACGUGACAGAAAGGAGAAAAUAUGGAGAACCCAUAACAGCAAACAAACGAGCCCAGAAAGAAGUGAGGAGAUGGAGCAUUCACGAGAUUUAAAACUGGACUCAGUACAGCCUGAAACAGUGCAGAGAUACAAUGCAAGUAGGAAUAAAACAACUAAUUCUUGGACAAAGCCAAAGAUAUUUGCUGUUAUACACAGCACUUUAAGGUGGUGUAGUUUUGGUUUUGUUUGUUUUUGCAUAAUCAAGUGUAACAUCAGUGAAAGACGACAGAUUAACAGCCCUCUGAAAGACAGGUUUGCAGUAUUUGAGCUCGGGAAGUUGCUGAAUUCUUGCAAGACACCAUCUUUUGGUCCUGGCUUGGAGGAUUUAUUUCUCUUCUUUUCAUAAAUAAGAGUAAAGUUUGGAAGAGGAUGUUGCCUGGAUGACAUGAUACUACCCUCAGAGGUAGGUCUUGGUUCUUUUCCCAGGUCUGAACUCUUUUAAUCAGGACAAGCA
This 1530-nucleotide long non-coding RNA is filed under the name Anas platyrhynchos platyrhynchos (common mallard). RNAcentral's name for it is "lncRNA (ENSAPLG00000028934.1)". The record is from RNAcentral. Lineage: Eukaryota; Metazoa; Chordata; Aves; Anseriformes; Anatidae.